Molecule: small nuclear RNA, 170 nt
Filed under: Chelonia mydas (Green sea turtle)
Lineage: Eukaryota; Metazoa; Chordata; Testudines; Cheloniidae
Description: U2 spliceosomal RNA
Rfam family: U2 spliceosomal RNA
About the family: U2 is a small nuclear RNA (snRNA) component of the spliceosome (involved in pre-mRNA splicing).
Source: Rfam by way of RNAcentral
AUCACUUCUUCACAUUUGACUUCACAUCAGAUCAAGUGUUGUAUCAGUUUAAUAUCUGAUAUGUCAUCUAACGGAGGACCAUAUUCUACACUUGUAUUUGAUGGACAUGGUCAUAAUAAAGAUCUUUUUAUUUAUGCAUUAAUAAUACCAUUGUGAUUAGGUGCCCCAGU